CCUACGGGAGACAGCAGUGAGGAAUAUUGGUCAAUGGCCGGAAGGCUGAACCAGCCAUGCCGCGUGAAGGUCAGUGCCCUAUGGGCGGUAAACUUCUUUUGUGCGGGAGCAAUAAUGGUCACGUGUGGCCAGACGAGAGUACCGUACGAAUAAGCAUCUGCUAACUGCGUGCCAGCAGCCGCGGUAAUACGGGGGAUGCAAGCGUUAUCCGGAUUUAUUGGGUUGAAAGGGUGCGUAGGCUGUGAGGUCAGGCAGCGGUGAAAUGCCCCCGCUCAACGGGGAGAAGUGCCAUUGAUACUGCUGAGCUGGAAUGCUGAUGCGGUGGGAGGAAUGUGUGGUGUAGCGGUGAAAUGCAUAGAUAUCA
This 364-nucleotide ribosomal RNA is filed under the name uncultured bacterium. Its description in RNAcentral is "partial 16S ribosomal RNA". It matches the Rfam family "Bacterial small subunit ribosomal RNA", at positions 338 to 699 of the family's 1533-position model. The record is from RNAcentral.